Long non-coding RNA from Glycine soja, 300 nucleotides. RefSeq lists it as uncharacterized. The record is from RefSeq and is a predicted model, not a curated record. NCBI's taxonomy places the organism in Eukaryota, Viridiplantae, Streptophyta, Magnoliopsida, Fabales, Fabaceae. The transcript has 3 exons.
GUCAGAUAUUCAGUCAAGGUUUCAUGUAUGCAUUCCUUGAGCCACAGUCGUUGGUUUGUUCAAAGGAUAGACGCAGCGAAUGCGAACAAUAUCUUGAAAGAUGGCUUAAGGAAUCUGACCGAGAGGUGUACAUUGGACCUUACUUCCAUCAGGAACAUUGGCAACUCAUAAUUUUGUGUCCUAGGCAACAUGUUGUUGUUUGGUUCUGUUCUUUGCGUAGGAAACCUGAUAUGCAUAUCAAAGCUACAAUUAAUAGUGUAAUGACAAAAUUGAAGAAGACCUUGUCUCCUGAAACUAAGG